This is a long non-coding RNA of Myotis daubentonii (Daubenton's bat), 1894 nucleotides long. RefSeq lists it as uncharacterized. The record is from RefSeq and is a predicted model, not a curated record. Lineage: Eukaryota; Metazoa; Chordata; Mammalia; Chiroptera; Vespertilionidae.
UGUUUGCUAUUUUAGAGCACUUUAACUUCUAAAAUUCAGCUUUUAGUAGAAUAUGCUCAUGCUAACUGCAAAAAAGUAUGUUAUGUCUAUAUUUGUGUAGGCUUAGGAAGCACAUGGGAGCAAGUCUUCUGUUUUUAUUUCUCCUCACUCAUUUCUUCUAAAUGACCCUAGAAUAGAGGCUAUUCUCUAUGCGGGAAUUAGUGCUACCUUUGCCUACUUACAGUUGGAAAAGUAUCUAAACCUGGAUUAGCACAAAGGCUUGGUUUGGGGACUAUUCUGCCAGUUGCGAAACGGAAAAGAAAAGGAAUCAGGUUGGUUCAAAUAUACACAUAACAGUGAGAAAAUUAGAAUACUUACAGAAUUCGAUUAUUUAGUAACGUGGAGGCCAACUGGAAUUAGAAUAAGUUCUUCACUCUUCUACCCCAAUGAUCUAGUCUUCAUAUAAAAGCUGAAGUGAUUUUUUAAAAAACAUAAAUCAUGUUUUUUACCCUGCUCAAAACCCUCCAGGCUUUCUAUCACACCUAGAACCAAAUCCAGAAAUAUUAUUCACUGAAAUUUAUAGGCCCUGUAAGACCCAGCUUUUGAAUAUAUCUAUUCUUCCCUUUCCCCUCUCAAAAUGUGUCCCUUUUAUAAAGUGUAGCUGGCUACACUUCCAUUUUUUCUGUUCCCCAAACUUGCUAGAUCUCUUUAUUAUUUUAUUUUUAAGUCUUAUGUGAAGUCAGUUAAAUUUUUACAAAGAAUUGUUACCACUUAGCUCCUUGCUUUUGAAUGUCACUUUUUCCAUAUUACCAUCUUAUUAGUUAAGUCCUUAGCCUAUGGGAGGAUCUUAAACAACCCACUGAGGACUUUCAUCUAUUAAAUGAUAACCCAAGAAAAGCUGAUAUACUGGAUUUUUCACUAUGUGGAAUUUUAUUGUCAAGUCAAUAAAAUAUUCUUACUGUAAGCAAUCUGAGGGGGAAAAAAGAACUGUAAUCAUUUAUGAAGAAUUUAUAUGGAUAUGCACAGGACCUAAAAUAGCCAAGACAGUUUUUAAAAAGAACAAAGUUGCCCUAACUGGUUUGGCUCAGUGGAUAGAGCGUCGGCCUGGGGACUGAAAGGUCCCAGGUUCGAUUCCGGUCAAGGGCAUAUACCUUGGUUGUGGGCACAUCCCCAGUAGGAGGUGUGCAGGAGGCAGCUGAUCGAUGUUUCGCUCUCAUCGAUGUUUCUCACUCUCUAUCUCUCUCCCUUCCUCUCUGUAAAAAAAUCAAUAAAAUAUAUUAAAAAAAUAAAAAAUAAAAAGAACAAAGUUGGAGUGCUUACAUCCUUUGACUUCAAAACUAUACAAAUACAGUAAGCAAGGGACUGUUAUUUGCAUAAAGAUAGGCAUAGGUCAGUGGUAUAUAAGAGAAUACAGAAAUAGAUCUAUACACAUAAGUUCAAAAGGCUUUUGAUAAAGGUAACUCAAUGAGUAAAGGAUAUUCUUUUCAACAAAUGGUACUGGGACAGCCAGAUAACUAUAUUCAAAAAAUUGAACCUUGACCAUUCUAUAUACGGAAAUUAACUUGAAUGGACCAUAGACCUAAUUAUAACAGCUAAAACUGUAAAACUACUAGAAAAAAUACCCUGGAGAAAAAUCUUAAUGGCCUUGAUGUUUGUGAAGAUUUUUUAGAUAGAACACAAAAAGCAUGAACCAAAAAAGAAAAUUAAGAUUUUAUCAAAUUACAAAUUUUGAUAUUUCAAAGAUACUUUUAAUAAUGAAAAGACAAGGUACAGACUGAAAUAAAUUUUAGUAAACCAUUACCAGAAAUAUAUAAUCAUAUCCAAAAUAUAGAGAGAAUUCUUACCUAUAAAAGAAGAAAAAAAUUCAGUAAAAAAAAAAAUGAGCUCAAUAUUUGAACAGACAUUCCAUGAAGAA